Molecule: ribosomal RNA, 629 nt
Filed under: Acinetobacter johnsonii
Lineage: Bacteria; Pseudomonadati; Pseudomonadota; Gammaproteobacteria; Moraxellales; Moraxellaceae
Description: bacterial SSU rRNA
Rfam family: Bacterial small subunit ribosomal RNA
Source: RNAcentral
UGAGUAAUGCUUAGGAAUCUGCCUAUUAGUGGGGGACAACAUUCCGAAAGGAAUGCUAAUACCGCAUACGCCCUACGGGGGAAAGCAGGGGAUCUUCGGACCUUGCGCUAAUAGAUGAGCCUAAGUCAGAUUAGCUAGUUGGUGGGGUAAAGGCCUACCAAGGCGACGAUCUGUAGCGGGUCUGAGAGGAUGAUCCGCCACACUGGGACUGAGACACGGCCCAGACUCCUACGGGAGGCAGCAGUGGGGAAUAUUGGACAAUGGGCGAAAGCCUGAUCCAGCCAUGCCGCGUGUGUGAAGAAGGCCUUUUGGUUGUAAAGCACUUUAAGCGAGGAGGAGGCUACUUGGAUUAAUACUCUAGGAUAGUGGACGUUACUCGCAGAAUAAGCACCGGCUAACUCUGUGCCAGCAGCCGCGGUAAUACAGAGGGUGCGAGCGUUAAUCGGAUUUACUGGGCGUAAAGCGUGCGUAGGCGGCUUUUUAAGUCGGAUGUGAAAUCCCUGAGCUUAACUUAGGAAUUGCAUUCGAUACUGGGAAGCUAGAGUAUGGGAGAGGAUGGUAGAAUUCCAGGUGUAGCGGUGAAAUGCGUAGAGAUCUGGAGGAAUACCGAUGGCGAAGGCAGCCAUCUG